This 497-nucleotide ribosomal RNA is filed under the name uncultured bacterium. RNAcentral's name for it is "partial 16S ribosomal RNA". It matches the Rfam family "Bacterial small subunit ribosomal RNA", at positions 28 to 507 of the family's 1533-position model. The record is from RNAcentral.
GAUGAACGCUGGCGGCGUGCCUAAUACAUGCAAGUCGAGCGAACGGACGAGAAGCUUGCUUCUCUGAUGUUAGCGGCGGACGGGUGAGUAACACGUGGAUAACCUACCUAUAAGACUGGGAUAACUUCGGGAAACCGGAGCUAAUACCGGAUGAUAUUUUGAACCGCAUGGUUCAAAAGUGAAAGACGGUCUUGCUGUCACUUAUAGAUGGAUCCGCGCUGCAUUAGCUAGUUGGUAAGGUAACGGCUUACCAAGGCAACGAUGCAUAGCCGACCUGAGGGGGUGAUCGCCCACACUGGAACUGAGACACGGUCCAGACUCCUACGGGAGUCAGCAGUAGGGAAUCUUCCGCAAUGGGCGAAAGCCUGACGGAGCAACGCCGCGCGAGUGAUGAAGGUCUUCGGAUCGUAAAACUCUGUUAUUAGGGAAGAACAUAUGUGUAAGUAACUGUGCACAUCUUGACGGUACCUAAUCAGAAAGCCACGGCUAACUACGUG